GAGAUAGGGUCUUGCUCUGUCUCCCAGGCUGGAGUGCAGGGGCACAAUCAUGGCUCACUGCAGCCUUCCCCUCCUAGGCUUAAGCAAUCCUCCCACCUCAGCCUCCGGAGUAGCUGGGACUACAAGGCACAUACUGCCACACCCAGCUAAUCUUCUGUUAUUUUUUGUAGAGCUGGGAUCUCACUCUGUUGCCCAGGCUGGAUUCUAACUCCUAGACUCAAGCAACCCUUCUGCCUCAGUCUCCCAAAGUGCUAGAAUUACAGGCGUGAGCCACCACACCUAGUCUCAAACUUACCUAUUUUUUAAUUCAGUUGUUAGCUUUCUUAUUCUUGAGUUCUGAGCUUUUUAUAUUUAUAUAUUCUGGAUACAAGUCCUUUAUCAGUUGGGUGAGCGGAAAAUACUUUCUACCAAUGUGUAGCUUCCGUUAAUAUUUUCUCCCAGUGAACCACAGUGUAUUGUUGGUGGGAAUGUGAAUUAGCACAGCCAUUAUGGAAAACAGUAUUGAGGUUUCCCCCAAAAUUAAAAAUAGAGCUAUCAUAUAAUCUAGCUGGGACAGCUUUGAAAUGAUUCCAAACAUUCACAUAAUUUGCUGCAUUGGUGACAUAUGUUUUGCUAAGAUAAAAACAUGGAGUAUAAUGCCCUUCCCCAUGACAAUGUUACAUCACCCCUUAUCAGACCACAUAUGUGAGUUACUGAUCUCAACUACUGGACUCCAAAACACAUGUAAACCCAAGAGCUUUUUUUUUUUUUCCCACUGUGUCACCCAGGCUGGAGCACAGUGACACAAUCAUAGCUCACUGCAUCCUCAAACUCAAGUGAUCCUCCUGCCUCAGUCUCCUGAGUAGCUGGGACUAUGGCCAUGCACCACCACACCCAGCUAAUCUUUAUAUUUUUUACAGAGAUGGGGUCUCACUAAGUUGCUCAGGUUGAUCUCGAACUCCUGCCAACAAGUAAUCUUCCUGCCUUGGCCUCCGAAAGUGCUGGGAUUACAGGUGUGAACCACCCAUGCCUGACCUAACCCCAGGACUUUGACAAGACACACUGAGACCUCAGGAUGCAGCAGGACUACUCUUUGUCAGCCUUCAAGCUGUUCUCCAAAGUCUCACCUGCCAAUACCUGCACCACUCACUAGUGUACAAGGACUUGUGUGGUCAAACCAUCUCUCCUGAGAAGCUCCCAUAGAAAAGUACAUAUCGAACUGUGAUUAGACUUUACUUCCACUGAGGCCUGAUUCUAUCUUAAUUGAGCUACCAGAAUUCAUCAAUUGGACUCUAAAUAAAAUGGAACUCACUGUGUCUAUCGAGUGUAUUCCCUACAAGAUUUUUUCUCAUUUUCUCCCCGUUUGAGCAUUGUAGGGAAGCAGGGAAGAGAAUCUCUUUGUAUGGUAAUACACCGUGCGAUUAUUGAAAUCAUACUUUGGCCAUUUCCUUAUUUUAACCAUACAAACCAUGAGCAAUCCUGAAACUGGGUAUAUACAGAAAGGAAAGGAAAUUAGUGUGUUGAAGAGAUAUCUGUGCUCUCAUGUUCAUUACAGAACUAGUCACAGCAGCCAAGUUAUGGAAUCAACCAAAAUGUCCAUCAACAGAUAAAUGAAAAUGUGGUACAUAUGCACAAUGGAAUACUAUUCAGCCUUAAAAAAGAAGGAAAUCCUGUCAUUUGUGACAACAUGGAUGAGCUUGGAGGACAUUAUGCUAAGUGAAAUGAACCAGGCAUGUAAGGACAAAUGACCUAUGAUCUCAAUUAUGUGCAGAUUUGAUAAACAAUCAAGUUCACAGAAGCAGAGAAUAGUAGAACGGUGGUUAUCAGCAGCUGGGGUGAGGAAAAUGGUGAGAUGUAGGUCAAACGGCACAAAGUUUUAGUAAGGAGGAGUAAGUCUCUUGAGAUCUGUUUGACAGAAUGGUGACUACAGUUAAUAAUUUGCUGUUCAUACAGUUAAUAUACUGUACAUUUCAAAAUUGCUGAAAGUAAAUUUCAAGUGUUCUUACCACACACAAAAACAAUCAUGUUGUACAUCACAAAUAUAUACAAUUUUUAUUUGUAAAUUUAAAAAUAUUAAACAAUUUUCUUCCAGUGUGUGGCAAUCCAUUAAUAGUAUCAUUAGAGGAACUGACUUUCUUGAUUUUGAUGAUGUGCAAUUUCCAUUUUUAAAAAUGGAUUAUAGUAUUGGUGUUAAAAUGAAGAACUAAGGUUUGUUUUUCUGUUUUUAUUUAAAUAAUUUCCACUUUGAUCUGUAUUAUCGUUUUUGGGUUUGUUUGUUUGAGACAGGGUCUCACUCUGUCACCUAGGCUGGAGUGCAGUGGCAUGAUCAUAGCUCACUGUGACCUCCAACCACUGGGCUCAAGUCAUCCCCCAUCUCAACCUCCUGAGUGGCUAGGACUACACACCUGCACCACCAUGCCCAACUAAUUUUCUAAAAUUGUUUUAUAGAGGUGAGGUCUUCCUAUGUUGCCCAAGCUGGUCUCAAACUCCUGGCCUCUAGUGAUCCUUCAGCCUCAGUCUCCCAAAGCACUGGGCCAUAUUAUAUAGUUUUUUUAAGAUGAGAGGUGAGGCCACUGAUUUGAGACCUUUUUUUCUUUUCUAAUAUAGGCAUUUUGUGUUAUAAAUUUCCCUCUAAGUACUGUUUUAGCGUGUCUCACAAAUUUUGAUAUGUUUUAAUUUUCAUUUAGUUCAAAACAAUUUUUUUUUUUUUGGAGACAGAGUCUUGCUUUGUCACCCAGGCUGGGGUGCAGUGGCGUGAUCUCAGUUCACUGCAACCUCUGCCUCUC
RNAcentral lists this long non-coding RNA (2765 nucleotides) under Homo sapiens (human). RNAcentral describes it as "HSALNT0243433". Lineage: Eukaryota; Metazoa; Chordata; Mammalia; Primates; Hominidae. The record is from RNAcentral.